Non-coding RNA from Hordeum vulgare subsp. vulgare (domesticated barley), 136 nucleotides. Lineage: Eukaryota; Viridiplantae; Streptophyta; Magnoliopsida; Poales; Poaceae. The record is from Rfam.
UUUGUAUUCCCUCCGUUCCAAAAUUCUUAUCUUUGGUUUGUCUAGAAAUGAAUGUAUCUAAAUAUAAAAAUAUGAAUAGAUACAUUCAUAUCUACACAAAUGUAAGAUAAGAAUUUUGGGACGGAGGGAGUACCAU